CACGAAUAUUAAAGCGACUAUCGUGUUGGACUCGAUCCAUUUUUUGUCAGUGUAUGGACUCGGGGUGAUUAUUGAACGAUACCUGCAAGCUCAAUUCCGCGACAGAAACUUGCUGGCUGAAAUCACGUGAUUUUGAUAACUUGUUCAGGACUUCGUGACCUAACCAAGUGCUGAAAAUCACUUGCAGAAAAUGGUGAGCCAAUCGGAUCAGGGACUUUGAUUUCUCAAAACCAUUGGAAAUGGUAUAGGAAAAUAUAAGAAAAGACGGGUGCUCCUCCGAGACAAGUGGAUUAACUGUGAAAACUCAAGACAACACGCCUCUUGGCUCUAAUUCUGAUUGACCAUCAAAGAGAUGAAAAUGUCUAUCGAAAAGUAGAACACUGAACCAUUUCAAGCGCACUGCUGUACCGAUAGAGAAUAACGAGGCUGAGUGAUCGACCACGCCUGCGCGAAUCAAUUGAAUUCUAUUGGCCUGCGAGAGCGAACCAUGGCAAUAUUUCAGUAUACAAGACAGGGGAGCCAUUACACUCGGAACGUGUCAAGCGGUGAGUUAAAUUUAUGUUUUCAUGAUGACUUGUAAAUGUAAUCACGGUCGUCAGUCAGUUAACAAUAAUAGUUUUCCAAGCCCUUCUGCAUCACUGUUCAUCAAUCUGAUGUACAGUCUAACCUCGAUCGAUAAACUCGCAAUUGCUACCGAACCUGUGUUGUAUAUAAUAGAGAUAAUUUCAUCUAAGAUUGUCAUCUUACAUAAAUAUACCUGAUAUUUUGUCGCGAGUCAAGUUUA
RNAcentral lists this long non-coding RNA (784 nucleotides) under Neodiprion pinetum (white pine sawfly). RNAcentral's name for it is "uncharacterized LOC124222871". Lineage: Eukaryota; Metazoa; Arthropoda; Insecta; Hymenoptera; Diprionidae. The record is from RNAcentral.